GACGAACGCUGGCGGCGUGCUUAACACAUGCAAGUCGAACGGUGAAGCGCCUUCCUUUUUGGUGGGUGUGGAUGAGUGGCGAACGGGUGAGUAACACGUGAGUAACCUGCCCCCUUCUUCUGGAUAACCGCAUGAAAGUGUGGCUAAUACGGGAUAUUCUGGGUCUGUCGCAUGAUGGGUCUGGGAAAGAUAUUGUUUCGGUGGGGGAUGGGCUCGCGGCCUAUCAGCUUGUUGGUGGGGUGAUGGCCUACCAAGGCGGUGACGGGUAGCCGGCCUGAGAGGGUGGACGGUCACACUGGGACUGAGACACGGCCCAGACUCCUACGGGAGGCAGCAGUGGGGAAUAUUGCACAAUGGGCGCAAGCCUGAUGCAGUGACGCCGCGUGAGGGAUGGAGGCCUUCGGGUUGUGAACCUCUUUCGCCAGUGAAGCAGGCCUGCCUCGUUUGUGGGUGGGUUGACGGUAGCUGGAUAAGAAGCGCCGGCUAACUACGUG
This 494-nucleotide ribosomal RNA is filed under the name uncultured bacterium. Its description in RNAcentral is "partial 16S ribosomal RNA". It matches the Rfam family "Bacterial small subunit ribosomal RNA", at positions 28 to 507 of the family's 1533-position model. The record is from RNAcentral.